This 186-nucleotide non-coding RNA is filed under the name Spirobacillus cienkowskii. Its description in RNAcentral is "6S / SsrS RNA". It matches the Rfam family "6S / SsrS RNA". Rfam says of the family: E. coli 6S RNA was the first non coding RNA to be sequenced, but its function was unknown until recently. The record is from Rfam by way of RNAcentral. Lineage: Bacteria; Pseudomonadati; Bdellovibrionota; Oligoflexia; Silvanigrellales.
UGUAGCCUCGUGUAGUUUUUGUAAAUAAUGUGGCAGAACCUACAAAUAACGUUAUAGGAAGCUAACGGUUUUUUGGUGAGCAUGCCCUCCGGCUUGUACGAUUGAGGGAAGCCUAAAAAAAAAUCACAAGGCAUCCACUUUUUUGAAAGUGGGUUUCUCCUAAAAUAAAAACUUACGAGGUCCUUU